This is a long non-coding RNA of Gallus gallus (chicken), 1756 nucleotides long. The record is from Ensembl. Lineage: Eukaryota; Metazoa; Chordata; Aves; Galliformes; Phasianidae.
AUUUAUAUGGACAUUUUCCUCAAGGAGUUUGUUUUCUUCAUAAUUCCAUUCUUCCCUAAGAGAAUAAAUCCCAUCUCGUUAAACAAGGCCAUAACACAACACAGUCAGAGAGCCUCUUUUCUUCCCCCAAAGCCCUUUGCAAAACAAAUAUGCAUCCUCUUGUGCAAUCCUGUGGGGUAGGGAAGGGGCACCAGAGGGCAGAUCUGAGAUGGAAACCUCUGAUCAGCAUCGAUUGAUCCCUGAACCUCACCCAGAAUUUUGUAACAACUUCACACAAAUAGGAACUGGCACUUGUGCCAAAAGCAGCCUCCUCCACUCCCAGCUGCUUGCACCCUCCCUGGUGCUGGCACAGAGAUUUGAGUGGCUUGCAUAAAUGAGAAAGAAUGAGCUGCUCUGAAUUAAAAUUAAUUCAGCACAUGCACAGGGAAAGCUAAUUUUUAACAGAGGGAAGCCAUGCAUCCACCUCUCCCACAACACCCCAUGUUGGGAACAAAUGAGCUGAAAGCAGCGUUUUGCCAAUCCGUGCCAAAAUACCACUCCCAUAACACCCAGCCUUGGAAACAAAUGAGCUGAAAGCAGCAUUUUACCAACCUAUACCAAAAUACAUCACUAGAAAAGGGAAGAGACAAGAGCAUCAUGCCUUGAGCCAUGGAGUACUCCCGUGUAGGAUGCUGCAUCACUAAAAUUCUUGUUCCUUUCCAGCACUCUGUAAGGAAGCAUUACCUAUUCAUCGACCCCUGUUACAAACAGCGCAUCUGAAAGCUGCAGGAAUUCACAGCACUCGUUCUUUGUUCGUAACACUAUGCUUGUAUGACAUUUGUUUGUAAGUCUAAUUUAAUUAAAAAAACAGUAAAAUGCAAGUGUGGGUUUUUGGCGCUGGGCUGGCAGGGUGUCUGCGUGAAAAUGCCCCAGGGAGGGUGGCACAUUUAAGAGAAAUUAAAUUGUCUCUUUCCGCCCAGAAUAAACAUGGUGCUAAUCCCUCUAAUGGCCCUAAACAUCACUAGAACUGCGGAUCCAGCGACAAGUGUGCAAUAGGACCCAAUUAAGCUGCUCACACAUUUGAAAUCAUGGUCUCAUCGUGGUUUAGUCUGGAGUCUCUCAGUGGCUAAACGUGCUGAGACAAGCGAAAACACGAAACUUCAUUAAGCGCUGCACCAGCAGAUUGCUGGGACCUGACGACAAGGGUGAGUGGGAGGCAUCGACAUUUCUGCCACCUCCUCCCAGUUUCCAAAGGCAUAGGGAUCUCCAGGGAACCCUGGAUCCUCCAGCAUAGCCUGGAAUCCAUUAACAGGAACAUCCUGCAUAGGAAAGUGGUGUAAUUUUCCUCUGUGGGGUACCUGUGGGUCUCAGAUGGAGCACUGCAUCGAGUCUUGAAGGUAACACAUUAAUAAAAACAUAAAAAUUGUGAGAAUCCAGAAGGAAGUGGGAAAUUAUACUGUAAAGGCUUAGAAAAUAUGAGCUAUUGAAGAAAACGGAAAUGUUUAUGUAUAGCAAUAUUAAAAAGGAAGACAAUGAAGAAGAAGGAGGAGGAAGAGAAGAAGAAGGAGAAGGAGAAAAAAAGAACAAGAAAGGAGAAAGUCAAUGAGAAGUAGGAGGAAGAGGGGAAGGAGAAUGGAAAAAAGAGAUAAUUUUAUAUUUUACUCCCAUUUAAUAAUAUUAAAAAUAAUAUCAAAUCAGGUAUGCUUGAUGUCCCCUUCCCCUUCUCCUUUCUCUUCCCCUUCCCCUUCUCCUUCCUCUUCCCCUUUUUCCAUUCUCU